RNAcentral lists this transfer RNA (72 nucleotides) under Camelus bactrianus (Bactrian camel). It matches the Rfam family "tRNA". Rfam says of the family: Transfer RNA (tRNA) molecules are approximately 80 nucleotides in length. Their secondary structure includes four short double-helical elements and three loops (D, anti-codon, and T loops). Further hydrogen bonds mediate the characteristic L-shaped molecular structure. tRNAs have two regions of fundamental functional importance: the anti-codon, which is responsible for specific mRNA codon recognition, and the 3' end, to which the tRNAs corresponding amino acid is attached (by aminoacyl-tRNA synthetases). tRNAs cope with the degeneracy of the genetic code in two manners: having more than one tRNA (with a specific anti-codon) for a particular amino acid; and 'wobble' base-pairing, i.e. permitting non-standard base-pairing at the 3rd anti-codon position. RNAcentral also lists the same sequence under 2 other names. Lineage: Eukaryota; Metazoa; Chordata; Mammalia; Artiodactyla; Camelidae. The record is from Rfam by way of RNAcentral.
GUGGGUGUAGCUCAGUGGUAGGGCGCAUGCUUAGCAUGUAUGAGGUCCUGGGUUCAAUCCCCAACACUUCCA